Papaver somniferum (opium poppy) is the source of this 2758-nucleotide RNA transcript. RefSeq lists it as uncharacterized. The record is from RefSeq and is a predicted model, not a curated record. The transcript is spliced from 3 exons. NCBI's taxonomy places the organism in Eukaryota, Viridiplantae, Streptophyta, Magnoliopsida, Ranunculales, Papaveraceae.
UGUAAAGAUAACACUAGUAAGCAGACCGAGCUUAUGCAUCUGAUGCUGGGAUCAACCUGAUUCACAGAGUGUAAAGCAUUCGACUAAUUUACACCUUGAGAGCUUAUUCUUGGUGGGUUGGUUGGAUAGAAUCUGGUAGUCGAGCGCUUCCGUAUCCAGUGGAAAUAGGAAUCCGGGGAUAGCAGAGCUUAUUGCUAUUCUGCGGUUGGUAACAAUAUAAAUUCAACAAGAAAUAAAUUUUCAUUUAAUUAGGCUUCGGUUCAGUGACAGCGAAUGAUUCCCUAAUCAUCUUUCUCCUUAUUACUUUAAACUAGUAUUUAUUAUUUUGUUUUAUUAGUUACUUUAAUUUGAAAAUCUAAAAACCCCAUUUCAGUUACUUUUUAAACAGCUAGAAACUCCCUGUUCUUCGUGGGAACGAACUCCUUACCAUUAUAUUACCAGUUAAUUGUGUGGAAAGAAGUAAUUAAUUUGUUGCGUAAACGACGCGCAACCAAAUUUUGGCGCCGCUGCCGGGGAGCAGUCGGUAGCUUUUAGUUGUUUUAUUUUAUUUUAGUAAUUUUAUUUAGUACUUUUGUUAUUUUAUAUUUUUCUUUAAUUUAUUUUAGGUUUUAGUUGUUAGUUAUUUUACAGUACUUUGUUUUUAGAUUUUCAUUUAUAUUUUUGUUCUUUAAUUUAUUUUCUUCUAGUUAUUAUUAUUUUUUUUUAGUUUUAGUUGUUAUUCCUUAAUUUAUUUUAUGUUAAUAUUUAUUGUAAUUCAGUUUAGAUUAUUAUUGUUAUUUAUUUUUUUUUAUUAAUAUUAUUUUCUGUUAAUCGUUAAUUUUGUUAAUAUUAAAAAAAAGUUUAUAUUUAUUUAUUUCACAUUUUAAUAUUUUCUAGAUUUUACUUUAAUUUUUCUGGUUUGAGGUACUUAAUCUCUGGCACCUAAACGGUGGGAUUAUGAAAGGUGCAGAAUCAAAACUCGCAGGGGAACAAUACUGUAACAACAUCAACAGUCGCAACAAGAAUCAUUUACUGAAGAGAUGGUUAAUACAGACGACGAGAGAGAUCCUCCACCACCUCCACCUCCGGAGAAGAAGCUACGAGAAUUGACAUCUCCAUGCUUAGAUUCGGAACCAUUGUGUAUUACCUUAACUAACCCAGUGGAACUGAAGUCAAGUAUGAUUCAUCAUUUACCAAAGUUCAAGGGACUUCCGGGUGAAUAUCCAAACCGUCAUCUUCAAAAAUUCCAUCACAAGAUGACAAGUCUAAGGAAAGGUACCGAAGACAGUGAUACGGCAAUGCUGCAAGCUUUUCCGUUCUCUUUAAUAGAUAUGGCGGAAGAAUGGAUGUAUUAUCUUCCCCCAGGGAGUAUUACAACAUGGACUGAAAUGAAAAAACUAUUUUUGGAGAAAUAUUUUCCUGCUACCAAGGCGUCCGCUGUUCGCAAGGAGAUUAGUGGCAUUCUGGAGCUUACCGGAGAGUCUCUUCAUGAAUAUUGGGAGAGCUGUUCUCACAGGCAACUAAUUUGAUUGAGAGCAUGGCUUCGAAAGCUCAACAAUUCUACACCAGAAACAACUCAAGCGUCAGAAGAGUUAGCGAGAUAGGAGAGUCUGCACAAUCAGAGCAACGGAUAAGCAACAUAGAAAAGGUGUUUUUGGAGAAAUAAGUUUUUGCGGGAAAAUUGGCUCGAAAAGUGGUAUUUGCGCUCGUGGAAGAAAAUUACUAUUCGGACUAUCAGUUUGGAUAAGGGGCACCCACUGAUAAGAGGUGCCCUAAUUGCUAUUUACACCCCACUGCUAUGGCAGCCAAAAAAAUGUUAGGGGAACAUCACUUUUUCCCCCCGUUUAAAUCAAGUUUUAGCGGGAAAAAGGAAUACUCAGCAGCAUGAAGUUUUGGCGAGAAAAUGGUGAAGGUUUAGUUGGAUUUAUUUGUUCGAAUGGACUUGGAUUGGCCUGCUAAGUUUAAACAGGCUUGGUUCAUGGGUUUGUUCGCGGAAAAGAUGAGGCUGAUUCGACAAAACGGGGAGUAUUUAUUCUCGGGAUUUUUGUGAACUUGCUGGAUCGAGUUUGGGUGAGUUUUAGUCGGAGUUCUACUCGGAUUUGGUUUGGUACUGAUCUGGCACGAAGAAACAGGAUUGGUUAGGGGUUUUAUAUUGGAAGUAAAGGAAAGUUAACGGACUCUUUACAAAACAGGGGAUGAGAAAUAUUAACCGGAUUUUGUUCUUCAUACAAGGAAGUUGCAGAAGAAACGGGGAGUAGAAUAUUUUCUAUUAGAUUUGUUUCCAUCCUAAGAAGAGUCUUGAACAGCUAAGAUUCGAUUAUUGACGCGGCGUGAGAUAAAAAUGGGAAGAAAGAGAUAUUCAUCUCGGUAUCUUGCAGUGGAGGAAAAUAAAGAUAUUUCAACGAUACAAUCACAUGUAGUGUAUAAAUACAAGUGUUUGAGGGUCAUAAAAUGGAAGUCGAUUAGUUUGGGGCCUUUACGUAGUUUAGGGGAAACUCUGGUACGAAGAAAUCACGCUGCAGAGAAAGUUGCAGCAGCAUGAGGAAGAAGACGAAGCUGAAGAACAUUAGACGACCCAAGUCAGUCGCAGAAAAGUGUGGUUUAUCCACGACACACAUAAUAUCGUUUCCAGCAGUCUUACAUCUUCUGUAUCGUUAGUAACAGUCGAUCUGCCACGCAUAUAAACGUUGCAAUUGAUCUGUUUUAUCUUUUUCUUGUAUUUUCACUCUCUUCAAACACUUUGGAGCCAUGAAUAAAUAUUUUGAGCAUGUUUUUGAUA